This is a non-coding RNA of Oryza glaberrima (African rice), 196 nucleotides long. Lineage: Eukaryota; Viridiplantae; Streptophyta; Magnoliopsida; Poales; Poaceae. The record is from Rfam.
AAAAAAAAAAACUGUAUGUUUCCGUGUCCAACGUUUGACUGUCCGUCUUAUAAGAAAUUUUUUUUAUAAUUAGUAUUUUUAUUAUUGUUAAAUGAUAAAACAUGAUUAAUACUUUAUGCGUGACUUAUCUUUUUAAUUUUUUUUUCAUUUUUUAAAUAAGACAGACGGAACAUUGAAACACAGGGUUUGUCUUUUU